This 672-nucleotide long non-coding RNA is filed under the name Astyanax mexicanus (Mexican tetra). RNAcentral's name for it is "lncRNA (ENSAMXG00005014390.1)". Lineage: Eukaryota; Metazoa; Chordata; Actinopteri; Characiformes; Acestrorhamphidae. The record is from RNAcentral.
GCUUCCGGUUUUAAUAAUUAUUUUUUACACUUUUUAAUUGGGUCUGCGGGUCGAAUAAUCGCGGUUCUGGUCUCUGGAGUAAAACAGGGUUACUGUAAUGGAGAGGCUGGUAAGGACAGGAGCUGUGCUGCUUGUCGGCUUUCUGCUCUCAGGGGCUGGAGGAGGCCGAGGAAGAAUAGUGGGAUUAGAGGAGGAAAAGGCCGGGAGGUAACAAAGACCUUCAGGAGUAGUAAGUGCAGGUAGGAAGGAGAAGUUCCUUCACUUUUUUAUAGGCAAUUGUAAGAGCUUUGUUUGAAUGUAAAAAUGAGCAGCAACCGGUAGCCAAUGGAGCUCAAUAAGCAGUGGAGUGACAUGUGCCCGUUUUGGCUGGUUGAAGACCAGGUGCUGGAACAUCUGAAAUGUUUUUCUACACAGGCCUGUUAGCAUUGCAUUGCAGAAGUCAAGGCAUGAGAUGACCACUGCUUGUACCAAGAGUAGGGUGUCCUGUUGCGAUAGAAAUGGUUGAAUGUCUGAUGUUGCAAAGCGAGUGCAAAGUGGCAAGACCGAGCAACUGAGACAACAUGAUGUUUAAAGGAUAGUUGGUAAUCAACCAUAACACCUAGGUUCAUAGCAACCUGUGAAAUUUUGUUGAAAUUGUGUUGAAUCAGCCCUAAAACCUAAUCUUUAACCCUA